CAGUAGCCGCGGGAAUACGAAGGGUGCAAGCGUUACUCGGAAUUACUGGGCGUAAAGCGUGCGUAGGUGGUGGUUUAAGUCCGUUGUGAAAGCCCUGGGCUCAACCUGGGAAUUGCAGUGGAUACUGGGUCACUAGAGUGUGGUAGAGGAUAGUGGAAUUUCCGGUGUAGCAGUGAAAUGCGUAGAGAUCGGAAGGAACAUCUGUGGCGAAGGCGACUAUCUGGGCCAACACUGACACUGAGGCACGAAAGCGUGGGGAGCAAACAGGAUUAGAUACCCCCGAGUCCCUGUCUCUUAUACA
This 301-nucleotide ribosomal RNA is filed under the name uncultured bacterium. Its description in RNAcentral is "partial 16S ribosomal RNA". It matches the Rfam family "Bacterial small subunit ribosomal RNA", at positions 509 to 808 of the family's 1533-position model. The record is from RNAcentral.